Molecule: long non-coding RNA, 1951 nt
Organism: Callithrix jacchus (white-tufted-ear marmoset)
Lineage: Eukaryota; Metazoa; Chordata; Mammalia; Primates; Cebidae
Source: RefSeq, a predicted model, not a curated record
UCCUAGAUGCUGGGGACCACUUUGUUUUGGUGGCCACUAUCUUCGCUCUCUUUGUCCUUCUUCUGUCUCAUUCUCUUGCAAAGGGUUUCCUAUCCAAGGAGUGCCUGAUGCAGGCUUCAGAAUGAAAGAAUAAAUGAAAGAAUCAGUCGCUCAGCUAACUCAAUAACCUGUUAAUCUAGUUAACAGUUUUUAAAACUUAGGUCUUCUUGUAUCACAGAGAACCAGAUAUCUUAAGAAAUAUAGGUGCACCCAUUUCUAAGGAAAAAAAAAGACAUUGAGUUAAAGGUAUUACAAGAAUUCACAGUGAAGAGGGAUGAGUGUUCACUUUCUAAAAGAAAUGUUUGCUUUAUCAAUAGCCUUGCCAUAACGUUUCUUUAUGGUGUGAGUUCCUGUCUGUAAAAUACUUGAAAUGUAGUCAACCAUUUAGUAAUGCAGCCACUAAGUGAGGAGAGAGAGAGGUGCAGGCAGCAGCAACCACACCGCUCUUACCUGCCUUGGCUGCAGUGGGCAGAGACCUCCUUGUGCUUAAAAGCACCCCUCUGAGGACGGCGGUGAUUACGGCUGCCUCCUGCUGCAGAGCCACACUGCAGCCUGGCAGAGGCUGAUCCCUUUACAUCAUUCACAGGGUAUUGUGAUGCACAUUGGCUUACAGAGCUAGGGAGAGUAGAGAUCCUUUGGUCGCUAGGGAGAGUCCAGCUGCAUGUGAAAGAAAGGGCAAAAAUGAGCGUGAAAAGGAAAAUCCUGGAGGCAAAUAAUCCCGGCUGUCUAAUCCCCGGAGCUUUCUUUCUGUAAAGAUUGUCCCAAGCACAACGUAAGGUGAAAAUCUGGUGUCACACUGAGGAGUCCUGCCCUCUACAAGCUAGAACUGAGGAAGCGGUUUGGCACCAAGGGAAAGAUGAGGCCAGCUCUGCCUGGUCCAAGACUAGAUUAGGCUCCAAGCUGCUCCUCUGAAGAGUCUCACUCUGUCGCCCAGGCUGGCAUGAUAUCAGCUCACUGCAACCUCCGCCUCCUGAGUUCAAGCGAUUCUCCUACCUCAGCCUCCUGAGUAGCUGGGAUUACAGCACCAAAUAGGAUGGCAGGCAAGUGCAAUGAUUUCUCCUAGCCUCCUAGGAUGCCUUAAAACUUAGGUGCAGAUUUUCUUACAAUGAUUUGGACUCUGGUGUCUUGAUGUGGUAUCAUCAAUAAGUAGCAGGAUCCUGAAGAGAAACACCUGAAAUGGGAAGCUGGACCAUAGGCCACGAUCAGAAUUAAGUUCAUGGAAAAUAAAGAAAUGUUAAAAAAAAGUUAUUUAGGUAAGUUUUGGAAUAAGAUUUGUGCUUGCUACAUAACGUCCAUUUGUUGAGCACCCUUAUUGCAAGCCUGACGUGUUGCUAAAGCACCUUGUAAGGUUAUUUUUCUUUUCUUUUUGAGACAGGGUCUGACUUUGUCCCCCAAGCUGGUGUGCUGUGGUACAAUACACCCUCAAGCAAUCCUCCCACCUCAGCUUCCCAAUUGGCUGGGGUUACAGAUGCAUGCCACCAUGACUAAUUCUUUUUUUUUGUAGAGACAGGGUCUCCCUGUGUUGCUGAGGCUGGUCUUGAACUCCUGGACUGGAGCAAUCCUCCCACCAGGGCCUCCCAAAUUGCUGGGAUUACAGGUGUGAGCCACCAUGCCCAACAGAUUAUUUUUUAAAAUUCUCACAGUGUUAUGAGGUAGGUACUACGAAAUCUAAUUUGCAAGGAAAGCAACUGAGGCCUGGACACACUGAGUGUCUGGCCUGUAGUUACACAGGCAGUAAAGGCAAAGGUAGGCUCUGAACCCAGAUCUGUGUGACUCCAAAGUCCCCGCCUCUGUGGAGCGUGCUUGGGACUGUGGGUCAGAAGACCUGAGUUGGGAUCCUGGCUUUGCAGGCCUUAGCUCCCGACUCUGGGUAUGUUGAGUCUCCCUAGGCUUCAGUAUCCCCAACUGACAG